AGCUCUCACUUGGAACAUUGAUGACUUGAUUCCUCCUAGCGAAAGAUAUAUAUACAACUUCAGUUCAAAACAAGAGCUUAAGAAGUGGCACUUGUAUUCCGAUUCUCAAUACGGAGGUUUAUCAUCAGCAGCUUUAGAGAUCACAAAUGCCGGAAAGGAACAAAGUGGUACUGGAGUUUUCUCUGGAAAUCUGUCUUUGGAUGUUACGGAGGGUACAAAAGAAGA
Long non-coding RNA from Helianthus annuus (common sunflower), 225 nucleotides. RefSeq lists it as uncharacterized. The transcript is spliced from 3 exons. The record is from RefSeq and is a predicted model, not a curated record. NCBI's taxonomy places the organism in Eukaryota, Viridiplantae, Streptophyta, Magnoliopsida, Asterales, Asteraceae.